Molecule: ribosomal RNA, 351 nt
Filed under: uncultured bacterium
Lineage: Bacteria
Description: bacterial SSU rRNA
Rfam family: Bacterial small subunit ribosomal RNA
Source: RNAcentral
AACGAACGCUGGCGGCAUGCCUAACACAUGCAAGUCGAACGAGACCUUCGGGUCUAGUGGCGCACGGGUGCGUAACGCGUGGGAACCUGCCUUUAGGUUCGGAAUAACUCAGAGAAAUUUGAGCUAAUACCGGAUAAAUGUCUUCGGACCAAAGAUUUAUCGCCUUUAGAUGGGCCCGCGUUGGAUUAGCUAGUUGGUGGGGUAAAGGCCUACCAAGGCGACGAUCCAUAGCUGGUCUGAGAGGAUGAUCAGCCACACUGGGACUGAGACACGGCCCAGACUCCUACGGGAGGCAGCAGUGGGAAUAUUGGACAAUGGGCGAAAGCCUGAUCCAGCAAUGCCGCGUGAGUG